CGCGGCCUAUCAGCUUGUUGGUGAGGUAAUGGCUCACCAAGGCAUCGACGGGUAGCUGGUCUGAGAGGACGAUCAGCCACACUGGGACUGAGACACGGCCCAGACUCCUACGGGAGGCAGCAGUAGGGAAUCUUGCGCAAUGGGGGAAACCCUGACGCAGCAACGCCGCGUGUGGGAUGACGGCUUUCGGGUUGUAAACCACUUUCAGUGAUGACGAAAAUGACGGUAAUCACAGAAGAAGGUCCGGCCAACUACGUGCCAGCAGCCGCGGUAACACGUAGGGACCGAGCGUUGUCCGGAUUUAUUGGGCGUAAAGAGCUCGUAGGCGGUUCUGUAAGUCGGAUGUGAAAACUCAGGGCUCAACCCUGAGACGCCAUCUGAUACUGCUGUGACUUGAGUCCGGUAGAGGAGUGUGGAAUUCCUGGUGUAGCGGUGAAAUGCGCAGAUAUCAGGAGGAACACCAGCGGCGAAGGCGGCACUCUGGGCCGGUACUGACGCUGAGGAGCGAAAGCAUGGGGAGCAAACAGGAUUAGAUACCCUGGUAGUCCAUGCCGUAAACGUUGGGCACUAGGUAUGGGAUCAUAUCAACGGAUUCCGUGCCGUAGCUAACGCAUUAAGUGCCCCGCCUGGGGAGUACGG
Molecule: ribosomal RNA, 639 nt
Filed under: uncultured Actinomycetes bacterium
Lineage: Bacteria; Bacillati; Actinomycetota; Actinomycetes
Description: bacterial SSU rRNA
Rfam family: Bacterial small subunit ribosomal RNA
Source: RNAcentral